Molecule: ribosomal RNA, 785 nt
Filed under: Pisione sp. YZ-2018
Lineage: Eukaryota; Metazoa; Annelida; Polychaeta; Phyllodocida; Pisionidae
Description: 12S ribosomal RNA
Source: RNAcentral
CAUCACGAGUUUGAUUCUGGCUCACAUAUUCUUUUGAACCAUUUUUACACAUGCAAGGCCCUCGCCCCCGUAAGUUCACCUUUUCCAUAAAUAUUCUCUAUUUCUUACGCCUGCAGUGAUUAAUUCUUUUCAAAUAACUAAAGUUAGUUAAGGGAUCGUUCAAUCCUGGUGAAAAAAUCUGUGCCAGCCUUCGCGGUUAAACAGAGACCUGGUAGAAUAUUACCGGGUUAGUGAAUAUUUUUUAUGGUUAAAACGAAAACGUAUGAGGUCCAAUUCUCCUUUAUAUUUCUUCCUAAAUAACCUUAAUCAUUUUCACGAAAGCUUAAUUAAAAACAAGGAUUAGAUACCCUUUUAUUCUAAGCUGUAAAAUUGUCCCUAGGUACUAAAAGCUCAUGCUUGAAACCCAAAGAACUUGGCGGUGCUUCAAUCCUCUCAGGGGAGCCUGUGCCUUAAAUCGAUAGUCCACGUUGUUCCUCAACCUUCUUUUGUACUCAGUCUGUAUAUUGCCGUCGUCAGUUUACCUUGAAAAAGUUAGUGAACCCCAAAAUUUCGUCAUUUUUACGUCAGGUCAAGAUGCAACCUAUAAGAAGGAGGUCAUGGGCUACAAUCUUAACUCAGAUUUCACGGAUUCUUAGUAUAACAUCAAGAUGAAGGUGGACUUGAAAGUAAUGCUUCUGCUUCUUCAUAUGAAUACUUGGCAAUCUGAAGCGUGCACACAUCGCCCGUCGCUCUCGCCGAAAGGGGAGAUAAGUCGUAACAUAGUAGACGUAACGGAAGUUGUGUCU